This 65-nucleotide transfer RNA is filed under the name Cylindrotoma sp. ZK-2016. Its description in RNAcentral is "tRNA-Pro". The record is from RNAcentral. Lineage: Eukaryota; Metazoa; Arthropoda; Insecta; Diptera; Cylindrotomidae.
CAGGAAGUAGUUUAAGUAAAAUAUUAAUUUUGGAGAUUAAUGAUAAAGUAAUUCUUUUUUCCUGA